RNAcentral lists this ribosomal RNA (497 nucleotides) under uncultured bacterium. RNAcentral describes it as "partial 16S ribosomal RNA". It matches the Rfam family "Bacterial small subunit ribosomal RNA", at positions 28 to 507 of the family's 1533-position model. The record is from RNAcentral.
GAUGAACGCUGGCGGCGUGCCUAAUACAUGCAAGUCGAGCGAACGGACGAGAAGCUUGCUUCUCUGAUGUUAGCGGCGGACGGGUGUGUAACACGUGUAUACCCUACCUAUAAGACUGGGAUAACUUCGGGAAACCGUAUCUAAUACCGGAUAAUAUUUUGAACCGCAUGGUUCAAAAGUGAAAGACGGUCUUGCUGUCACUUAUAGAUGGAUCCGCGCUGCAUUAGCUAGUUGGUAAGGUAACGGCUUACCAAGGCGACGAUGCAUAGCCGACGUGCGAGGGUGGUCGGCGACCUGGGAGCUGAGACACGGACCAGAGUCCUACGGGAGGGAGCAGUAGGGAAUGUGCCGCAGUGGGCGAAAGCAUGACGGAGCAACGCCGCGUGAGUGAUGAAGGUCUUCGGAUCGUAAAACUCUGUUAUUAGGGAAGAACAUAUGUGUAAGUAACUGUGCACAUCUUGACGGUACCGAAUCAGAAAGCCACGGCUAACUACGUG